Long non-coding RNA from Hordeum vulgare subsp. vulgare (domesticated barley), 289 nucleotides. RefSeq lists it as uncharacterized. The record is from RefSeq and is a predicted model, not a curated record. NCBI's taxonomy places the organism in Eukaryota, Viridiplantae, Streptophyta, Magnoliopsida, Poales, Poaceae. The transcript is spliced from 3 exons.
ACUAUUUUGUCAUGCGAUAUGAACUACUAAGUUGAAGAUCAAGGUGGAAUUCGCUGAUAUUAUUCUGGUGAUAUAUUAUAUUCGGAAGGAUAUCCUUAUUUAAACCAGAGGUACUAUGGAAAAUUUGUUAGUGUUCUAUGGGCACAUCGUACGUGAGGGUCCUUCUGGUGUGGAUGUGUCUAGGUGCGGGAUGACUACGGUUGUAGUGAAAGACAUGGUUAAUGUAGAGUAUGCGGCAGUUAGAAGGUGCAUCCGAUCGGUGUUUGGUUCAGCGAUGAAUGGAAAAAAA